CAUCCAUCGUCUCUUUGACUUCACUCUCCGAUCCUCUCCAUCCCGUCGUGCCAUGGAGGCGGCCGUCGUCCUGUCCCCUCUCCGCGUCGCCCGCCACUCUUCCCACCUCCUCCCCCUCCUCGACGGCAUACUGCUCUGCCGCCCGUUCGCGCUCGCUCACCACCGCCAUCCCCUAGCCCCUGCAAAAAUUCCCCAUUCCAGCAGGCCUCUCCGGCCACCACUCUAGCACCGUGUUGGCCAGCGGCUGCGCCGUGCAGCUCCGCCCAAGAUUCGUCACCCAGGACGACGUGAUCCACCCGCACCUCACCGUCUGAUACUAUGAUUAUUUGGUACCGAAUACACUGGUUGCAUCUUGUGUUAUCUGGGAGUAAUCUGCAGUUUCACUAAUACACUGCAAUUCAUUGACUUCGUUUUAUUGCCCCUCCGCAAAAUAUCAUACUGGAACCAUGGAUUCAAAGGUGCAUCACAACAGUGUGGAGGUGUAUAAGUAUGUGCAUCACAAGCGUGACAAGACAAGAGGGUGCAGUGCGAGCUUGAUGAGAUGGACAAGGUGAGGUAGGAACGUGAAGCCGUGGACCUGGUGAUGAGGCGGGAGCGCAAGAAGAUGGACUCAAAGAUAAAAAGUAUCCAUGAAGAGACGGAAAGUUCAUCAGAGAUGGACUGGAAGGUGAUGCAAGAACGUGCGGCCAUGGAUCUGGCGCAGGAGUGUGAGAAAAUGGAGAAACGGGUCAAGAAGAUCCACAAGGACAUGAACGAGAAGUUGUAGCAGGAACGUGAUGACAUGGACCGUGCUAUAGAGUUGUUUGCCAAUUAGUGUUGAUUUUCAGGUGCUCAGCAGCUUGUGCCUAGGCUGGUUGCUUUUUUUCUGACAGCGGGGGCUAAGGGUGUGUAAAAAUCGAAACAGCUCAGACCCGGUUAGGAAUUUCGUAGUUCAAUCUCCUUCACAAAUAAAAUCCCAAAUCUGGAGCUAGUGCAAAAUAUUGAAGUAGCAGAAACCGGCCAAACUGCCCAACCGUUUUAGCACAGGCUUAGCGGGGGCUAAUGGCCCCCUUGUCGUUGGCCAUUUCUGUGCAGUUCAAAAUAAAUCAUAAGGCUGCCGGUCAUGCAAAUAAGA
This is a long non-coding RNA of Lolium perenne, 1114 nucleotides long. RefSeq lists it as uncharacterized. NCBI's taxonomy places the organism in Eukaryota, Viridiplantae, Streptophyta, Magnoliopsida, Poales, Poaceae. The record is from RefSeq and is a predicted model, not a curated record.